CAGAGAGCAAGAAUGACACGUCAUCUGCAGGAAGCUCAAGAGGGAUAUCACCUGAUUUCCUAGGAUCGAUGGAAAUAGAAGAUGCGGCCCUGUGACUUAACUAAUGGAAGAAGAUUCAUGUGGCACUCGCUUAAUGCUCUUGAGUGCCACCCAAAGAAGCUGGGCUACAUUGUGGAAAGGUGCUGUUACAUCGUCGGCUCUUGUUGAGACAAUGCUUAUGUGAGUAGUGAUAUUUUUCCUGCAUAUUUAGCUUUUACCUUUGUUUUGUUAUUAUUUGUUGUCUAAUGUGUCAGCGAUGCUGAAUUUGUGCGUUUUCUUGCUGUGUGGA
Long non-coding RNA from Macrobrachium nipponense, 328 nucleotides. RefSeq lists it as uncharacterized. The transcript is spliced from 4 exons. Lineage: Eukaryota; Metazoa; Arthropoda; Malacostraca; Decapoda; Palaemonidae. The record is from RefSeq and is a predicted model, not a curated record.